GAGAGAGAGAGAGAGAGAGAGGUGGCGUGGUCGAGAGAGAGAGAGAGAGAGUGUGGUGGCGUGUUCGAGAGAGAGGUGGCGUGGUCAAGAGAGAGAUAGAGAGUGGUGGCGUGGUCGGGAGAGAGAGAGAGUGGUCGGGAGAGAGAGAGAGAGAGAGGUGGCGUGGUCGAGAGAGAGAGAGAGUGGUGGCGUGGUCGAGAGAGAGAGAGAGAGAGAGAGAGUGGUGGCGUGGUCGAGAGAGAGAGAGAGAGAGUGGUGGCGUGGUCGAGAGAGAGAGAGAGAGAGGUGGCGUGGUCGGGAGAGAGAGAGAGGUGGCAUGGUCAAGGGAGAGAUAGAGAGUGGUGGCGUGGUCGGGAGAGAGAGAGAGAGAGAGAGAGGGUGGCGUGGUCGAGAGAGAGUGGUGGCGUGGUCGGGAGAGAGAUAGAGAG
This is a long non-coding RNA of Oncorhynchus tshawytscha (Chinook salmon), 428 nucleotides long. The record is from Ensembl. NCBI's taxonomy places the organism in Eukaryota, Metazoa, Chordata, Actinopteri, Salmoniformes, Salmonidae.